UAACUCUUUUAUAAUUGGCUUUGAAAGGUA
This 30-nucleotide non-coding RNA is filed under the name Rattus norvegicus (Norway rat). Lineage: Eukaryota; Metazoa; Chordata; Mammalia; Rodentia; Muridae. The record is from RNAcentral.